This 322-nucleotide ribosomal RNA is filed under the name uncultured eukaryote. RNAcentral describes it as "partial 18S ribosomal RNA". It matches the Rfam family "Eukaryotic small subunit ribosomal RNA", at positions 1470 to 1796 of the family's 1831-position model. The record is from RNAcentral.
CCCUUAGAUGUUCUGGGCCGCACGCGUGCUACACUGAGUGGAUCAGCGGGUCAGGUUGCGCGAAAGUGUUUCCUAAUCUUUAAAUCCGCUCGUGAUGGGGAUUGACGGUUGCAAUUUUCCGUCAUGAACGAGGAAUACCUUGUAAGCGCGGGUCAUCAUCCCGCGCUGAAUACGUCCCUGCCCUUUGUACACACCGCCCGUCGCUCCUACCGAUUGAGUGGUCCGGUGAAGCUUUGGGAUCUGGGCGGAAAGAGCGUUUCGCUGUUUCUGCCCGGAAAACUCAGUCGAACCUUAUCAUUUAGAGGAAGGAGAAGUCGUAACA